Papaver somniferum (opium poppy) is the source of this 1719-nucleotide RNA transcript. RefSeq lists it as uncharacterized. NCBI's taxonomy places the organism in Eukaryota, Viridiplantae, Streptophyta, Magnoliopsida, Ranunculales, Papaveraceae. The record is from RefSeq and is a predicted model, not a curated record. The transcript is spliced from 3 exons.
GAAAAGACCAGAAAGAGACGACUCUCUCUAAGAAGUAAGAACUGUAAACUGUAAAGGUAAAGCAAACAGCCUCUUUUUCUCCGCAAAUCCUGAGAAACUUCUAAGCUCCAUGGUACCAUUACUCUCGGAAAUAUGUUGGAACAUUUAAACAAAAAGAGUGAAAAAUGUACACCUCGAAGAAGAGUUCCGUCCACACGAGAUUUUCCUAUUGCUUGUGGGAAUAACUUUCUGAUAAUCAGUAGGAUGGAGUGUUUGAGAUUGCUUUCUUCUUCAGAGAAUAUAAAUCCGAGUGAUGAAUGUUUUAGUCGAGAAAGUAUGCAAUCAGAACAUAUGCUCGAGGCUGGUUUUAGAGAGAGUAGUGACAACGUUCAAGAUGGUCACUGGAGCCAAUUCAAUAAGAGAAAGGCUCAUGAGGAAUUUGAGGAUCCAGGUCCUAUUGCUUGUGGGAAUAUCUUUCCAGUAACUAGUAAGAUGGAGUGUUUGAGGAUGCAGGUUGAUGAGGAAUUUGAGGAUGCAGGACCUGCGUCUAAUCAUUCUGAAGGAAACAAAUCUAUUGUGUUAGCACCUUAUUCUGGUGAGAGGGUGAUUGUGCAGGCUCUCAUGGCUACAAACAAUUGUCCAUGGAGGAAUACAGCAAAACGAUUUGUCAAACCGCCAGAGUUCAUGGCUACUCCAAAGAGUACUCAGCGGAGGCAGGCAAAACAGGUUGUCAAAUCUGAAGGUGAAAAAUCUAUAGUUUUGGCAUCAAGUGAGAGGAUCAUUGUACAGGUUUUGAUGGCUGCACCAUACUGUCCAUGGAGGAGUCAGUCAAAACGAUUUGUCAAAUCUCAAGGGCUCAUGGGUGCACCAAACGAUCCAUUGAGGGGGCAGGAAAAACAACUUGGCAAAUUUCAAGGAGAAGAAAAAUCUAUUGUUCUAGCACCUUCCUUUAGUGAAAGAGUUAUUGUACAGGGUCUCAUGGCUGCUCCAAAUUGUCCCUGGAGGCAGGCAAAGUGAGAUAACAAGUCAACAGCACAUGGUAUAACCAAAAGAGAUGAAAAAUCUAUUGUUCUAGCACCUUCCUUUAGUGAAAGAGUUAUUGUACAGGGUCUCAUGGCUGCUCCAAAUUGUCCCUGGAGGGAGGCAAAGCGAGAUAGCAAGUCAACAGCACAUGGUAUAACCAAAAGUAAAGUUAAUAAGCAGGCAAUUUCCUUAUACUUCAGAGAGUGAAGCUUCAGUGAACAAGCUGAAGGAGAACGAGAAAAUCACGUAUCACAAACAAGGGGGAAGCAGGACCUACAGUGAGGAGGGUAUCAUAUCAUUUUCUUAUUAUGCAUCCAUUGUAUGUCGCCAAUAGAAUGUACAUAUCGUGGGUCGAAUAAUCAUUGUUAAAAGAGACGGUGUGAAAAAGGAAAUCAUCCAUACAAAUCAUAGAAUUGCAGAAGAUUAAAACCACAUUAAUCAUUGAUCACUAUCUCUAAACCAACAAUCAGCAACAGGAGGGGAUAUCUGGUGAUUGGAUGAUGUCAGUUUCUGCAAGGAACAAGAGGAAGUCAUCUCCCAUCUUAUUUUUAGCUUUGUAAAUAUUUAAGGCAAGUAUGGUAUUACUGUUUUAGUAUAUGGACAGAUGAACACUAGCUAUAACUUAUGAAGAAAAGGAGUAGACCUUUGCAUAGUAUCCUCGUGCAUUUUUUUAUGAGCAUCCAGGAAUCUUCUUUCUUUCUUCUUUUGAAAAAUUUA